UAUUGCACAAUGGGGGAAACCCUGAUGCAGCGACGCCGCGUGAGUGAAGAAGUAUUUCGGUAUGUAAAGCUCUUUCCUAAGGGAAGAAGAAAGUGACGGUACCUUAGGAAUAAGCCUCGGCUAACUACGUGCCAGCAGCCGCGGUAAUACGUAGGAGGCGAGCGUUAUCCGGAAUGACUGGGCGUAAAGGGUGCGUAGGUGGUUUGGCAAGUUAGUAGCGUAACUCCAAGGCUCAACCUUGGAACUACUACUAAAACUGUUGGACUUGAGUGCAGGAGGGGCAACCGGAAUUCCUAGUGUAGCGGUGGAAUGCGUAGAUAUUAGGAGGAACACCAGUGGCGAAGGCGGGUUGCUAGACUGUAACUGACACUGAGGCACGAAAGCGUGGGGAGCAAAC
Molecule: ribosomal RNA, 397 nt
Filed under: uncultured bacterium
Lineage: Bacteria
Description: bacterial SSU rRNA
Rfam family: Bacterial small subunit ribosomal RNA
Source: RNAcentral